AUAUUUCACAAUGGGCGAAAGCCUGAUGCAGCGACGCCGCGUGGGGGAUGAAUGCNUUNNGGUUGNANACCCCUUUCAGCAGGNNNNNAGCGAGAGUGACCGUACCUGCAGAAAAAGCGCCGGCUAACUACGUGCCAGCAGCCGCGGUAAUACAUAGGGCGCAAGCGUUAUCCGGAAUUAUUGGGCGUAAAGAGCGCGUAGGCGGUCAGUCGAGUCUGCUGUGAAAACCAGAGGAUCAACCUCGGGCCUGCAGUGGGUACGGGCUGACUAGAGUGCGGUAGGGGAGACUGGAAUUCCUGGUGUAGCGGUGGAAUGCGCAGAUAUCAGGAGGAACACCGAUGGCGAAGGCAGGUCUCUGGGCCGCAACUGACGCUGAGGAGCGAAAGCAUGGGGAGCGAACAG
RNAcentral lists this ribosomal RNA (402 nucleotides) under uncultured bacterium. RNAcentral describes it as "partial 16S ribosomal RNA". It matches the Rfam family "Bacterial small subunit ribosomal RNA", at positions 361 to 775 of the family's 1533-position model. The record is from RNAcentral.